RNAcentral lists this ribosomal RNA (2149 nucleotides) under metagenome. RNAcentral describes it as "bacterial LSU rRNA". It matches the Rfam family "Bacterial large subunit ribosomal RNA", at positions 1 to 2186 of the family's 2925-position model. The record is from RNAcentral.
UCAAGCAAUAAGGGCACAGGGCGGAUGCCUUGGCACUAAGAGCCGAUGAAAGACGUGAUAAGCUGCGAAAAGCUUCGGGGAGGGGCAAAUACCCAUUGAUCCGGAGAUUUCUGAAUGGGGAAACCUACCUGAGCAAACCUCAGGUAUCCUGACGCCAAUCCAUAACGUCAGGAAGGGAACCCGGUGAACUGAAACAUCUAAGUAGCCGGAGGAAGAGAAAACAACAUGUGAUUCUGUGAGUAGCGGCGAGCGAAAACGGAAGAGCCCAAACCAGUGUGCGUGCAUGCUGGGGUUCGGACCGCGGAAUUGAUUCAACAAGUUUAGCAGAACGGUUUUGGGAAAGCCGGCCAGAGAGGGUGAAAGCCCCGUAAGCGAAAGACGAGUUGACAUGGCGGGAUCCAGAGUACCACGAGACACGUGGAACCUUGUGGGAAUAUGCGGGGACCACCCCGUAAGGCUAAAUACUACUUAGUGACCGAUAGUGCAUAGUACUGUGAAGGAAAGGUGAAAAGGACCCCGGGAGGGGAGUGAAAAAGAACCUGAAACCAUAUGUUUACAAGCUGUGGAAGAGCUUUAUAUGCUCAACCGCGUACUUUUUGUAGAACGGUCCGGCGAGUUACGCUGGCUGGCGAGGUUAAGCACUGAAGGUGUGGAGCCGAAGGGAAACCAAGUCUGAAUAGGGCGAAGAGUCAGUCGGAGUAGACCCGAAACCGGGUGAUCUAUCCAUGUCCAGGUUGAAGUUGCCGUAAAAGGCAAUGGAGGACCGAACCCACAUCCGUUGAAAAGGGUGGGGAUGAGGUGUGGAUAGGGGAGAAAUUCCAAUCGAACCCGGAGAUAGCUGGUUCUCCUCGAAAUAGCUUUAGGGCUAGCCUCGAUUUAGUCUUAUGGAGGUAGAGCACUGAAUUUCCGCGGGGGCGUCAAAGCUUACCAAAGAAUAUCAAACUCCGAAUGCCAUGUAGAUGAUGAUCGGGAGUCAGACUGCACGAGAUAAGUUGGGCAGUCAAAAGGGAAAGAGCCCAGACCACCGGCUAAGGUCCCAAAGUGCGUGUUAAGUGGAAAAGGAUGUGGGAAUUCGAAGACAACUAGGAUGUUGGCUCAGAAGCAGCCAUACAUUCAAAGAGUGCGUAACAGCUCACUAGUCGAGAGUUCCUGCGCCGAAAAUGUCCGGGGCUGAAACACGACACCGAAGCCGUGGACUCGCAAUGCGAGUGGUAGAGGAGCAUUCUUAAAACCGACGAAGCUGUACCGAAAGGAGCAGUGGAGGGAUAAGAAGAGAGAAUGCCGGAAUGAGUAGCGAGAGAAAGGUGGGAAUCCUUUCGGCCGAAUAUCUAAGGUUUCCAGAGUAAAGCUGAUCUGCUCUGGGUAAGUCGGGGCCUAAGCACAGGUCGCAAGACGUAAGCGAUGGAUAACAGGUUUAGAUUCCUGUACCACGCAUUAUCAGAACUGUAGGGACGCAUGUGGAAAGCACGAGCCGGGAAUGGAAAGACCGGUACAAGCGGGGUAGGUGUACAAUAGGCAAAUCCGUUGUAUAAUCCGAAGACGUGAUGUGGAGCGAAAUAAAGUAGUGAAGCGUGUGAGCCAUGUGCCGAGAAAAGCUGCUAUUGUGUAAUGCGUGCCCGUACCGUAAACCGACACAGGUGGAUGAGGAGAGAAUCCUAAGGCCGGCGGAAGAAGCAUUGUUAAGGAAUUCGGCAAAAUGACCCCGUAACUUCGGGAGAAGGGGUGCCUGCGAGAGCAGGCCGCAGAGAAUAGGCUCAAGCAACUGUUUAGCAAAAACACAGGUCUAUGCGAAACCGAAAGGUGAAGUAUAUGGGCUGACGCCUGCCCGGUGCUGGAAGGUUAAGAGGAGAGGUUAGCGCAAGCGAAGCUUUGAAUUUAAGCCCCAGUAAACGGCGGCCGUAACUAUAACGGUCCUAAGGUAGCGAAAUUCCUUGUCGGGUAAGUUCCGACCCGCACGAAAGGCGUAAUGAUUUGAGCGCUGUCUCGACAAUGCAUCCGGUGAAAUUGAAGUACCAGUGAAGAUGCUGGUUACCUGCGCCAGGACGGAAAGACCCCAUGGAGCUUUACUCCAGUCUGGUGUUGGGAAGAGGGGCUGCAAGGACAGGGUAGGUAGGAGACUAAGAAGGAUGGGCGCGAGUCUGUGCGGAGU